UCCGACAAGUCCAUCAUAUUCGCCAACUUCUCCCAGCUACAGCCCGACCUCUCCCAGUUAUAGCCCUACAUCUCCUACUUAUAGUCCUACUUCCCCCAGUUACAGCCCAACUUCCCCCAGUUACAGUCCUACUUCGCCAAGCUACAGCCCUACUUCUCCAGUUUACAGUCCGACUUCCCCAGCCUACAGUCCAACAUCUCCUGCCUACAGCCCAACCUCACCAUCCUAUAGUCCAACAUCACCUUCCUAUAGUCCGACAUCACCUUCAUAUAGCCCAACAUCACCUUCAUAUAGCCCGACUUCACCAUCAUACAGUCCUACCUCACCUGCCUAUAGCCCAACUUCUCCGGGAUACAGUCCAACAUCUCCUAGCUAUAGUCCUACAUCCCCAAGUUAUAGCCCCACAUCUCCAAGUUACAAUCCUGCCUCAGCAAAGUACAGUCCUUCGCUUGCUUAUUCUCCAAGCAGUCCAAGG
Molecule: long non-coding RNA, 475 nt
Filed under: Musa acuminata (dwarf banana)
Lineage: Eukaryota; Viridiplantae; Streptophyta; Magnoliopsida; Zingiberales; Musaceae
Description: long non-coding RNA (MACU_LNC000260)
Source: RNAcentral